This 694-nucleotide ribosomal RNA is filed under the name uncultured Snodgrassella sp. Its description in RNAcentral is "bacterial SSU rRNA". It matches the Rfam family "Bacterial small subunit ribosomal RNA", at positions 662 to 1357 of the family's 1533-position model. Lineage: Bacteria; Pseudomonadati; Pseudomonadota; Betaproteobacteria; Neisseriales; Neisseriaceae. The record is from RNAcentral.
UAGAAUUCCACGUGUAGCAGUGAAAUGCGUAGAGAUGUGGAGGAAUACCGAUGGCGAAGGCAGCCUCCUGGGAUAACACUGACGUUCAUGCUCGAAAGCGUGGGUAGCAAACAGGAUUAGAUACCCUGGUAGUCCACGCCCUAAACGAUGACAAUUAGCUGUUGGGACACUAGAUGUUUUAGUAGCGAAGCUAACGCGUGAAAUUGUCCGCCUGGGGAGUACGGUCGCAAGAUUAAAACUCAAAGGAAUUGACGGGGACCCGCACAAGCGGUGGAUGAUGUGGAUUAAUUCGAUGCAACGCGAAGAACCUUACCUGGUCUUGACAUGUACGGAAUCUCUUAGAGAUAGGAGAGUGCCUUCGGGAGCCGUAACACAGGUGCUGCAUGGCUGUCGUCAGCUCGUGUCGUGAGAUGUUGGGUUAAGUCCCGCAACGAGCGCAACCCUUGUCAUUAGUUGCCAUCAUUAAGUUGGGCACUCUAAUGAGACUGCCGGUGACAAACCGGAGGAAGGUGGGGAUGACGUCAAGUCCUCAUGGCCCUUAUGACCAGGGCUUCACACGUCAUACAAUGGUCGGUACAGAGGGUAGCGAAGCCGCGAGGUGAAGCCAAUCUCAGAAAGCCGAUCGUAGUCCGGAUUGCACUCUGCAACUCGAGUGCAUGAAGUCGGAAUCGCUAGUAAUCGCAGGUCAGCAUAC